CACGGUACCCUUUGAUUCUCCUUAGUUCAACCAAAUGAACUAAAAUUCUAAGAUGACAUAAUUUUUUAGAAAAUUAGUUCAUUUGUUUAAACUAAGGAUGGUCAAAGGGUACCCUG
Non-coding RNA from Brachypodium distachyon (stiff brome), 116 nucleotides. NCBI's taxonomy places the organism in Eukaryota, Viridiplantae, Streptophyta, Magnoliopsida, Poales, Poaceae. The record is from Rfam.